GGAGGGGCGGCCGUAGAGGUGUUGAGUUGUAGCCUUAAUUAUGAGACUGUAAGUCUCCCUCUCUAUU
Molecule: transfer RNA, 67 nt
Filed under: Kuphus sp. PMS-3700M
Lineage: Eukaryota; Metazoa; Mollusca; Bivalvia; Myida; Teredinidae
Description: tRNA-Tyr
Source: RNAcentral